RNAcentral lists this ribosomal RNA (257 nucleotides) under uncultured bacterium. RNAcentral describes it as "partial 16S ribosomal RNA". It matches the Rfam family "Bacterial small subunit ribosomal RNA", at positions 524 to 776 of the family's 1533-position model. The record is from RNAcentral.
UACGUAGGGUGCGAGCGUUGUCCGGAAUUAUUGGGCGUAAAGAGCUCGUAGGCGGUUUGUCGCGUCGGGAGUGAAAACUCAGGGCUUAACCCUGAGCCUGCUUCCGAUACGGGCAGACUAGAGGUAUGCAGGGGGAGAAUGGAAUUCCUGGUGUAGCGGUGAAAAUGCGCAGAUAUCAGGAGGAACACCGGUGGCGAAGGCGGGUCUCUGGGCAGUAACUGACGCUGAGGAGCGAAAAGCGUGGGGGAGCGAACAGG